Molecule: long non-coding RNA, 2543 nt
Organism: Macaca mulatta (Rhesus monkey)
Lineage: Eukaryota; Metazoa; Chordata; Mammalia; Primates; Cercopithecidae
Source: Ensembl
UAAGAUCCUCCUUCCAAGUAAGAUUACAUUCACAGGUUCCUGGUAGAUACGAAUUUUGGGUGGACACUAUUCAACCCAGUACAGUCACCAACCCCUGCAGUUAGGAAGGGAAAGCCAACUCCUCAGGAGCACAUCUCUGAAGCCAAGGGGGAAAGAGGUGUCUUUCCUUAUUCUUCGCUAAGUGCUGCCACUGUGGCUGCGAGGCCAGGGGUCCCAGAGGGGACCUGUGGUUGCUUCACUCCUAGACAGUAAAGUCAGCCACACAGCUAAAUAUACAGAUCAGGGAACCAGAAUGCUGGCUCCACAGACGAAAUGCCGCCUCUGUCAGCUCCAUCAGCUCACUUGAUAGCAUUGGACUUUGGGCAGAUACUUUACCUCGCUAAACCUCAAUUUACUCAUCUUGUAAAAUGCAGCUAAUAAUAGUUCUAUGUCAUAGAGAUGUUGUUAGUAUUGAUAAAAUAUGGUAAAGUGUUUAGCAUAAUCUCUGACACAUAGGAAGUGAUCUAAAAAGAAUAGCUAUCAUCAUCAUUAUGAGUUGACCUUCACUACAAUCCUAGGAAGUGGUUGAGGCAUGUCAGAGUGUGCCCUGAUGAAGCAACUGAGACUUAGAGAAGGUAAGCGAUUUACCCAGGCUCACAUACAAUCCAUCAUUAAAGCCACGGCCUACUGGUCCUGUGCUUUCUUCAACACCAUAGCAUCUCCUGCUUUUCUGGGGACUAGUCUUCAGGACCCAGCUGAAGGUGGGACAUGAGGUGGAGCGGGGGAGGGGUGAAUCAUAUGCCUCACACCCCAUUUGUGAGAGUUUGGGGCAUCUCCAAACUAGAGCUUUCCUAGGUGAUGUGUCUACCUUCCUUUUAGGUCCUGCACUACAUAGGGACUGCCUAAUUCCUACCUGUGCCCUUCGCUCCUUCCCACAGCCUGGCCCAAGGAUGCUUCCUCCUAGCUCUCCUCACCCUCCCUGAAGGCCUCAACCUCACAGCUUUUGCCUAUCUGGCCAGUCCCCUCCUGCGAUGCUACAGUCCAGAACCUUACACAACACAUCUCUGGGACUACUGGUGCUGUAACCUCCCUGCCUCCUGGUCACCCUCCUUCCAGUCUACAAGGCACCCUGCGACAUAACUGUAUUCUAAGAAAGCCUCCUUCAUUUUGUCUGUCAUCUGCCUUCUUCAGAAUCCACAGGCUCCCUAUGGCCAUGCCAAAAGCAUGGCUUUCUAAACUAAGAGGGGAUUUGAGAAAUGAUUCAGCUGGACUCCCUUGUUUCACAGAUGAAGAAUCUGACGCUCAGAAAAGAUGCGUGACUUGCCCAGGGCGGAGCCAAAACUGUAGUGAGGCCUCUACGUGAUGAGAACUUACUAUCCAUCCUAACUCUCUUGCACAUCACAAUACAUGCAGAGACUGCAUAUACAUGCUUAACUUCUCUGACCUUUGUAACAUGGGAAUAAUAAUCUUUAAUUUGGGGAAAAUGUUGUGAGGAUAGAAUGAAACUGUUGUUUAUCAAUUGCUAAAGGCUGUAGAGAACAUUGACUCCUGAGAACUUGACGCAGAUUAUUUACUCAAUAUUCACAGCAACCACAUGAGAGUAGUAGUAUUCACCCCAUAGUAGAAACAAGGAACUGAGGCAUAGAGGUCACCUGGCUCACCCCUGUCCUGACAGCUCCUCUUUUGCCCUGGCUUCCUCCAUCCACCCCUUCACACACACACACUACACAACCAAGUGCCUCAUGUAGUUUUCCUCCUAUCUGGAUCACCAGAGUCUGUCGCUGUCACCUGCUACACCCACUUCUCCUAGGGGAGUUUGCAUGGUCUGCCCUCUGGCCAUAGGUGAUUGCACCAGGGCUGGGCAUUGAACCAAGGGAAAGCAAGAAAUAAACUGGCUGAGCCAUGCAAGUCCUUUCUCAUGAGCAUUUGAAUUAAGGAGUUAUGAAAACCGAGUUACUUAGGUGGGGGCGGGCAAUGGAGACUAGCUGGAAGCUACCCUGGGCCAGGGUGAGCCAGGAGAGGAGAGUGGAGCAGAGGCCCAGGGAAAGGAGAGACCAGAGACCCCCAUUGUUUACCCCAGGUGUGCUGGGAAUGUGUCCAUGCACACACACCCUCUGGCCUCACCCACUCUAACAGAGUCCCCAACAUACAACCAGCCCAGCGUCUUCUCAGAUCCCAUGAGAUCUGACUGUAUUUUCCACUGCUGAGUUCUCUGAGAUUCCCAUCUAUCUUCCCAGGAAAUUCUCUUUUCGCUUCCACUGGUUUGAGCAUGUUUGUCCUUAUAGCCUGUGAGCCCUGGCUACAACAUCAGCUCAAGUAAUUCGACCAGCUCAGGGCCUGACUCCUCUGGGAAGCCUUCUGCCUACCUCUCUGUGUUCGUCUCAUCUUCCCCAGAGAGAUCCCAAACCCUACCACAGUGGCGGUCACUUCCCUUUCCUUCUCAACAUCCAGUACGUACUUGUGGAUUGGCCACAUCUUCUAACUUUGCAGUGCCCGUUUCCAAUUUUGCCCUUUGAAAUUGUACUGUCCUUAUGGUUACCACUUAAUGUUCUAGCAAAUCCAUG